Vidua chalybeata is the source of this 1099-nucleotide long non-coding RNA. RefSeq lists it as uncharacterized. The transcript is spliced from 2 exons. Lineage: Eukaryota; Metazoa; Chordata; Aves; Passeriformes; Viduidae. The record is from RefSeq and is a predicted model, not a curated record.
UGGGACCCUCACAGACCCUCCCCAUGAUCCUGAAACCCUCAGAAAUGGGGCUGGGACCCCCACAGACCACUCCCCAUGGAUCUGGAACUACCAGAAGAAAGGUUGGGACCCCCAGAGCCCCCAGAAACGGGUCUGGGGUCCCCAGAAAUGGGGUUGGCACCCUCAGAAGACCCCUCCCCAUGGGCAUGAGAUUCCCAGAAAUGGGGCUGGGACCCCCAGAAAUGGAGCUGGGACAACCAGAAUAGGGCUGGCACCCCCAAAAUGGAGUUUGGCAUCCCCAAAAUGGAGCUGGACACCCCCAGAAUGGGGCUGGGACACCCAGAUUUGGGCUGGAACCUCCACACACCCCUCCCCAUGGACUUGGGACUGCAAGAAAUGGGGCUGGGACCCCCACAUGUAAGCCACGCCCACUCCCCGCCUUGCCCCACAUUCUGCAUCGAACUAACCAAUCAGCGGCUGGAACAAUCAGCGCGGGAAGGCCUUCGGCAUCGACCAAUCAGAUCGCUCUCUCAUUCUGGCCCCACCCUUUCAUUCUGACAUCAAAAAGAUCCGUGACGAUCCCCCCUCACCCCUAUGACGUCACUGCGCUCCCAUUGGCUGCCGGCAGGAGGGCGGGGCUUGCCCGGCCUAUAAAAGGCGUGCGUGGGUGCGCAGAGCUCAGUUCGGGUCCGGCGAUGGGAGCGGCGGCAGCAGCGGAGCCCUGGGAGCACCCCAGAGCCAACACCGGCCACGGACGGCGUCCAGCGGCGGGGAAUGCCCAGGGUUGAGGACACCGACAGAGCAUUCCCGGGGCAGCGAGCAACGAGAGCGGCCGAGCAUCGCCCCGGAGCGAGGACCACGGAACCGGGAGCACCACGGCGACCCAUGGAGCAUCCCCCCGGGGCAGCGCCUAGGAAUCCACACGGAGCACCGAGAGAGAGAGAGAGCAUCCCCGGGGAUGAGGAAGGAGGCAAUGGUCAGAGAAUCCCCCCGGAGCAGCGGUGAAGACAGUGCAGGGAUCGGGCAGAAGCUCCGUGGACGCCCACCGGAGAAUCUCCCAAAGCUAAGGCCCAACCCCCCCCCCCCCCCAAAUUUCUGAAAUAAAGUUGACAAAAAUCUC